CUUCCCUGAAUCGCUCCCUCUCAUUUCCUUAUCUCCUUCCCUCAAUCCCUCCUGCUCCUCUCCCAAUUCUGAUUUAUUCUUUCCUAACCAGACCCCCUGCCGAUAUCUUUCUUCUUUUCUAAACCUCAAACCGUAUGUCGUUUCUUCCCUCUAUGGCAAGAACCCAUGUUCCUCGCAAACGAUCGCUCGAGCGUCGAUGUGAAUCACAGAUCGAAGGGGCUGGUCCCAAGUAGCGGUGCGAAGCGGAUACGAAGCCAGGAGGAGAGGUAGGCACGGUGCCGCUCAUGGCUGUGGUGUUGUGCUUGUGGUCGUGGUGAAUUGGAGAGAACGGCCUCCUAUCCAUGCACGUCCAUCUACUGCAGGCCUUCCCUCUUCCAGCAACAUCCUGUCUCAGUUUGCCGCCGCCAUUCAUCCGGAUGGCCCUGGACAUACAUACCAGCACCACAACCUUCCUCCUGCUGCUGGGGACGCAGCUAUCAUCGGUAUUAUCUGCAGCCCGAACGUACAAGCCGUCGAAGCUGACGUUCCUUUGCACAGGCUGCACAGACAGGGGUGUACAAGUUGUUGCUUCUGUUCAUCCACGCGCCAGUGACUCACAUACAUUGCUAGCUGUGUGCAGGGUAUCAUUAAGUUCACAUGCAUUUAUCAGAUUGUGUAACUAGCUUUUGUUACUGGUCCAUCCCUAGGGGCUAGGAAGCAAUAAGAUUACUUCAGUAUGCAUAUAUACGUUGCUAGCUACGUGCAGGGUAUCUCAAGUUCACAAACAUUUAUGAGAUUGUUUUACUAGCUUUUGUUAUUACUUGGCCCUUCAGUAUGCAGAUUGAUCUCAACAUUCAUAAGAAUCUUCAAAAAAAUGGAGAUGAAAAUACUUCAAGUAGUUCUGAGUGGAGAUCAUUUGAUAGCAUUUUGUUGUAGCAUCUACAGAAGACCUUUUCAUUUCAUUUUACCGAGAAACGCUGGAGGGUUCAUGUUUUACUUAUCCAGGACAUUUUGAAGGUUCCUGAUGCAUUCUUACAAGAAGCAACAAUCCAGAGGUAAGUGAAAUGAUAAGAGGGUUAAUUAAUGGUGUUCAAUUUUUCCUUCAAGCAAACAGUUUGUACCCAACUGCAAUACUAUUCAGUAUCAUCCUGAAACCAAAAUCUCAAGGAUUCAUUCUUUGUGAAUUCGAGCCUUGGCAAACCACUCCCAUUACAAGGUUCCAUAAACAUGCUGGAUUUGUAUGUCGAUAUUCGAAUUAAUUGGGCAAAAAUAGAUAUAUUUACUUUGAUGUUUUUACAUAUUCAGGUGAAUAGCAUCCUGUUUUUACUUCAAAUAAUUAACAAAAAAUUAAAGACCAUGAUUAUGUUGUUUAUUAAAUUCAUCUUGCAUUAUCUUUGAUGAAAAGUUUAUUAUCUGUCAGCAACGAUAUGUUAAUAUGGGCAAAGGAAAGUCAAAAUAUGUUAUCUCAAGCUAAUAUUUUUAAAUUAGUGAAGCCCUGUAGUAUUUACUGGAUUGAUCACGGCACUGCUCAUAUUUUUUGGUACUUUAAUAUCUGAAAUAUUUCUUUUAAUCAUGAGCCGAGGUGAUAAUGGGUUGCAGGCACACACCCCGUCCUUCUCUUGUUCAAGGUUUGGCGGAUGCAUUAAGUUUGGAGAGGAAACUAACAUGAAUGACCAGGGGAUCUUUUUCUGACCUUUUUCUCGCUUUCUAAUUACUCCUCUCAUUUCCUCUGUUCUUCUCAGCCAUCUCCUUUUCUAUCGCCAUAUCGAUCUCUAAACUCGCUUCAUCUUUUUUCUUCCAAUUCAUCCGAUUGUUGUGUUCCAAGCACACAUGUCAUAAAGCAUCACCUCCUGCUUGUUCGAACAUGUUUGAUGUACUUACACAUUAACAAAACUGAUCAGUAACAUUCAUGCCGAAUUAUUUGGGCUUGGUCCUCUGCUUUUUACUGUUUAUUUAUUGAUGAAGAUAGCAGAUGUUCAUGUUUUUAAAUAUAGUUACACGUGUUCGUCCAAAAAAAAUAUAGUUACAUGUGCUUCCUGUUGGUAGAGAUCAAAAAAUUAACUCACCGAUGCAAGGAAAAAGAGCUCUUUUAUAGACACUGCAACAGUGGAUACAUGGUGAGCCUUUCUGAAUGUGUUUUAUGAAAUAAGGCUAAUUUAAGGUCUGGUCUUUUGGGUAUGCAAACCUUUCUUGAGAAUGCUAUACUUGCAGGCGAAUAACACUCUUAUGAUAGAAUGCCACUUAAUUUGUAAGCUUCGAUUCAUAAAGUAUGCAGUAGCACAUUAGACAGAUGAGCAGUGGCAGCGCUGUUGUAGCACGCAUGCUCAAUCGCCCGGACCAAGGGGCGGCUCAUGCACCGCUCGUUCGCGUACGCCCUCCACCGCCUGCUCGGCUGAGGCCGGAGCACGCCUUUUCCGGAAAUGCAGGCAUAUUCUCAAUCGCACCGGUUCCUGCACUUGUAUGCUUUUGAAAUUGCAGAAAUAGUGGUGGCCUAAUUCACCGCUUCCAGUGAGAUUAUUUAUUAUUCGGCUAUUAGUUACUAACUCCAUGGUUUUGGUUUUCUACGGUUGGGCUUCUAUAGCUGAAUUCCUGCAUGUUAAAUAUACAAUGCUGCAAGGAGCAAGUAAUCUUCUAUGGAGCACCACCAAAUAAAAUUCAGAGAUUAUGUUUGUACACCCUUGUUAAGAGAGAUGACAGGGCAUACAUGGGCCCUUCUCUACUUGGUACUUCAAUCAAAUGGUGGGAGUCAAUUUUAUCCAAGAGCUAUGUCCGAUAUGUCGCCUAAUUCAGCUGGUCCUGAAGUAUUCUCUUCUAGCGAUCAUCUUUUGUUCGAAACCCAAUUAUCAAAGUUGUUGCUUAAAAUUACCCUACAAACUGGCUGGUCAUCUUUUGUUUGAAACCCAAGUUGCCGCUUAAAA
Long non-coding RNA from Triticum dicoccoides, 2897 nucleotides. RefSeq lists it as uncharacterized. The record is from RefSeq and is a predicted model, not a curated record. The transcript has 4 exons. NCBI's taxonomy places the organism in Eukaryota, Viridiplantae, Streptophyta, Magnoliopsida, Poales, Poaceae.